Rana temporaria (common frog) is the source of this 141-nucleotide small nuclear RNA. RefSeq annotates it as U4 spliceosomal RNA. Lineage: Eukaryota; Metazoa; Chordata; Amphibia; Anura; Ranidae. The record is from RefSeq and is a predicted model, not a curated record. The transcript has a single exon.
AGCUUUGCGCAGUGGCAGUAUCGUAGCCAAUGAGGUUUAUCCGAGGCGCGAUUAUUGCUAAUUGAAAACUUUUCCCAAUACCCCGCCGUGCCAGCUUGCAAUAUAGCUGGCACUGGCAAUUUUUGACAGUCUCUACGGAGA